ACACGAAGCGGACAAACGUUAUUCGGAAUUAUUGGGCUUAAAGGGUGCGUAGGCGGCGCGGUAAGUGAGGUGUGAAAGCCCACGACUCAAUCGUGGAAUUGCGCUUCAUACUGCCGUGCUAGAGGGAGACAGAGGUAAGCGGAACUGAUGGUGGAGCGGUGAAAUGCGUUGAUAUUAUCAGGAACACCGGUGGCGAAGGCGGCUUACUGGGUCUCUUCUGACGCUGAGGCACGAAAGCUAGGGUAGCGAACGGGAUUAGAAACCCCAGUAGUCC
RNAcentral lists this ribosomal RNA (274 nucleotides) under uncultured bacterium. RNAcentral describes it as "partial 16S ribosomal RNA". It matches the Rfam family "Bacterial small subunit ribosomal RNA", at positions 523 to 796 of the family's 1533-position model. The record is from RNAcentral.